RNAcentral lists this long non-coding RNA (1757 nucleotides) under Olea europaea subsp. europaea. Lineage: Eukaryota; Viridiplantae; Streptophyta; Magnoliopsida; Lamiales; Oleaceae. The record is from RNAcentral.
CUCACAUUUUUCCCAAUAAAUGCGGAUUCUCUAUUGCCGGCAAAAGAAUUCUUGGUAGAAGGUUUUAGAUUCAAAAACAGAGGAAUCCCAUUGUUUUGACCAUUCUUCAAGCAUUGUGAUUGCGGCAUUUAGAUCCAUUGGAAACAAGAACAAUUAAAAAUGCUCUCAACCCAUUCAUUUUCUACCCUACUGGGUAUAACUAAUUGAAGUUUUGGUAACAAAAUCCUUAAAUGAUUCUUAUUUUCUUCCUUAAAAGAUAAGGCUUCAUUAAGAAUCUCAAUCGCUGAUUCUUCCUUGCUAAAAUUUGUCUUCAAAUCUGAAAUCCUUACCUUAAGAUUUUCAGGCGAAAUCUUUGCAUCCCCGACCUGAAGGGACUCAAAUUUCUACUGUAGAAGUUGUGCAGCAAUCACACCCAACUCAAUAUCCAUCCUACGUUCCUCCGUAGUUUUAAAUGUCUUCUUAAUCCCUUGUAUUUAUCCCAAUUCUAUUGGGUCCCUCGUUGAAAACUUAUGUUCUUCAUUGCCCAAUUUUUCAUCCUAGAUGAAAUGGAUACAAUGUUCGUCUGUUGAAUUAAAGACUGACCAGAUUUAAUUCCAUUGCUUCCAAACUUGAGGCAAUAAUGAUUCAAUGCAAAUUAGCUGUAGUACACCUUCAGCAACUUCUAUCUCAACUUCACUCUUCCUUUCUUCAAUAGUCGUCCAAUUCUCCAAAAUUCUCAACUCCCUUCCUGAUUCUCCUUUAGCUCAUAGCCUUUAUCUUCAUUUGGUCCUGCUAAUUUUGCUAAAUGUCUCAAACACCUCUUCCUCAAUAGUUUCUAAAAAUCUCUAGCAAAGUUACUCAGAGAACAAACUCCAACUGCCCUAAGAUGAUUUGCAAUGAAUCCAUAAAACCAUAUAUAAGUUUUCCCUUCCAAGUACUUCUCAGCAACUUCCAAUCCAAGUUCAUCGGGAGUUUGAAAAAGUUGGAAACAUUUUAUAGCUUUCCUUACCCAUUCCCUAGGUCCUUCUCCCCUAAAAAGUGGAAAAACCAUCUUAGGCAGUCUAAUAUUUCCCUUAAGCCCACUUGUUGUAUUAACACUAUUCUCUUUAGCUAUUAAUUCCUGGCAUAUAUAUCUCACUCUCACUAUGCUCAACACCAACAUCUUCACUUUUAGCAGCGGCUGACUUCUAAUUUCACCCCAAACAAGAUCUCCUACAUGGAAUCCAUUCUCCUGACCCACCAAAUUUUUUUCAUUCUUUACUUUUUUAUUAGGAGUAACCAUAAUUUCACUAUCCCCAUUGACAAUACACUUGGUGAUUGUAGCGACUGAAUCAUCAUAGAUGCUCAAAUCAGAUGUACUAACCUGCUUGACUAGGCCCUCUUCUGAUUCAGAACCCGAAUCACCCAUUUGCACAUCCAAAAUCUCGACCAUUUUUGCAGAAGAACUGUAAUGGUUGGACUUAUCUCUGCAGGUUGAUUUAGCUUCAAUAAUUUCAGUCAACAUUGAAAUCAUCUGCUCAGGGAUUCUAUUAAAAUCUUCUCUGAUGAUACCAUUUUGUCACGAAUUAAAUCUCAAUUCGCAACCAUCCACUCGCACAACUCAAACAAUGAAGUAAUCCAACUGAAACCAGCUGAAUUUGGAACCAAAUUAAGAUCAAAGGAGAAUGGGGAGGGAUUAAAUGAUGAAAAAUAAGAACAAGAAAACAGAGAAGAAGAAUACAGCAACAGAGAAGAAGAAGUAGAAGAAGAAGGGGAAAGAAGCCAAGGGAGAAGCAGAG